Molecule: ribosomal RNA, 485 nt
Filed under: uncultured bacterium
Lineage: Bacteria
Description: bacterial SSU rRNA
Rfam family: Bacterial small subunit ribosomal RNA
Source: RNAcentral
AAUCAACGCUGGCGGCGUGCCUAACACAUGCAAGUCGAACGAGAAAGCGGGGGCAACCCCGUGAGUAAAGUGGCGACCGGGUGAGUAACACGUGACUAACCUGCCCUUCAGUGGGGGAGUAACCUCGGGAAACCGGGGCUAAUACCGCAUAACAUCUUGCGGGUGCAAUUCCUGCUGGAUCAAAGGAGCAAUUCGCUGAAGGAGGGGGUCGCGGCCGAUUAGCUAGUUGGUAGGGUAAUGGCCACCAAGGCGACGAUCGGUAGCCGGCCUGAGAGGGCGCACGGCCACACUGGAACUGAAACACGGUCCAGACUCCUACGGGAGGCAGCAGUGGGGAAUUUUGCGCAAUGGGGAACCCUGACGCAGCAACGCCGCGUGGAGGAUGAAGUCCCCUUGGGACGUAAACUCCUUUCGACCGGGACGAUAAUGACGGUACCGGUGGAAGAAGCCCCGGCUAACUUCGUGCCAGCAGCCGCCGCGGUAAU